CGGGGGGCAGCAGUGGGGAAUUUUGGACAAUGGGGGCAACCCUGAUCCAGCAAUGCCGCGUGAGUGAAGAAGGCCUUCGGGUUGUAAAGCUCUUUUGUCGGGGAAGAAACGGUGAUUUCUAAUACGGAUCACUAAUGACGGUACCCGAAGAAUAAGCACCGGCUAACUACGUGCCAGCAGCCGCGGUAAUACGUAGGGUGCAAGCGUUAAUCGGAAUUACUGGGCGUAAAGCGUGCGCAGGCGGUUAUGUAAGACAGAUGUGAAAUGCCCGGGCUCAACCUGGGAACUGCAUUUGUGACUGCAUGGCUAGAGUGUGUCAGAGGGGGGUAGAAUUCCACGUGUAGCAGUGAAAUGCGUAGAGAUGUGGAGGAAUACCGAUGGCGAAGGCAGCCCCCUGGGAUAACACUGACGCUCAUGCACGAAAGCGUGGGGAGCAAACAGGAUUAGAUACCCCAGU
Molecule: ribosomal RNA, 457 nt
Filed under: uncultured Herminiimonas sp.
Lineage: Bacteria; Pseudomonadati; Pseudomonadota; Betaproteobacteria; Burkholderiales; Oxalobacteraceae
Description: bacterial SSU rRNA
Rfam family: Bacterial small subunit ribosomal RNA
Source: RNAcentral